GGCAUUUUGUCACUAUCUUGGGAUUCUCUGAAGUAUAUUCUUCAAGACACGUUGGACAGACAUCCUCAUCUUCGGAGGAUGUAUAAGAAUACCCAAGUCCAGUGGUAGAUUUAGUUGAAGGGAACUUUAGAGAUGAUUUGCCAAGGUUUUCUUUAGAUUCCUCAAGACAAGCAGAACCAUUCCAUUUGCCUGCUGAGCCCAAAG
RNAcentral lists this unclassified non-coding RNA (204 nucleotides) under Hevea brasiliensis (rubber tree). Lineage: Eukaryota; Viridiplantae; Streptophyta; Magnoliopsida; Malpighiales; Euphorbiaceae. The record is from RNAcentral.